GGAAGGAUCAUUAACACGUAUCCACGUAUACACACACACCGUGCACAUGUUCUCCACGCGCACCCAUACGCACCGCAGCGGCGUGCAUCCGUCGAGAGACGGACGCACACGGCGCAUGCCUGGGAGCCGUCAACACACACACACACAUUCACACCCAUACUUUUGCUAGUUGAUUUCUAUCUGUUACACCCGCGCACUCGCCUCACCGCGUACGUGCACGCGUGUGUACACACGGUCACUUACCUGAACGUAUACACAUACAACUCUUAGCAAUGGAUAUCUUGGUUCUCGCAACGAUGAAGAACGCAGCGAAAUGCGAUACGUAGUGCGAAUUGCAGAAUUCAGUGAAUCAUCAAAUCUUUGAACGCAAAUUGCGCUCUUGGGUAGCCCUAGGAGCACGCCUCUCUCAGUAUCGGUCCACACACAUCUCACACGCACGCACGCUGGCUCGCGCCACCGCGCGCGCUGUGGAGACUGCGCGUCGUACUAUACCCAUAGUGCGUCGCGUCGAAAUCGAUCGAAUGAGGUAUCGCUGCUCGAACGCGGCCUGCGCCGUCGUCACCCGCAUGCGGGUGACACACGCAGACCGCACGCCACAGGUACACACGGCGUGCAACGGCGAGUGACGUGAAUACUGGCCGCCCAGCGCGACCGCACAUUUACGUGUAACUCACCACCGCAUGUAUUCAACGUGAGUGCGCACACGCGCAUGUUCGAGCGCAGCUGUGAUACCAUCAUGACAACAGCGACGAGCGACCAUACUCGCGUAUGGUCGCAUCGGCGCAAUCGACUCGUCACCGUGCAUCCGUGCCCUGUGCCGUGUCGAUUCCCCCCCAUACACGAUCUGAGAUGAAGCGAGACAACCCCCUGAAUUUAAGCAUAUUAAUAAGGGGAGGAAAAGAAACUAACAAGGAUUCCCCCAGUAACGGCGAGUGAAGCGGGAUGAGCUCAAUGUGAGAAUCGACCACCCAAGCGGGUCGUCGAGUUGUAGCCUAGCGACGUACCAUCAGCGGGCACCUGGGUAUAAGUUCUUUGGAAUGAGGCAUCAUAGAGGGUGAGAAUCCCGUAUAUGACCCAAAGCGGCCCGCGUACGAUGUAUGUUCCUCGAGUCGAGUUGUUUGGGAUUGCAGCUCUAAAUGGGUGGUAAGUUUCAUCUAAAGCUAAAUAUAGGCGAGAGACCGAUAGCGAACAAGUACCGUGAGGGAAAGAUGAAAAGAACUUUGAAAAGAGAGUUAAAAGUACUUGAAAUUGCUAAGAGGGAAGCGCUGGCAACCAGUCACACCGUCGCGUACAUCGCUCGCGGCCCCACUGGUAUGCGUGCCGUCGUUGGAAACUCGACGUGCGCAUACGACCGGGUGGCUGCGGGUUCAGUACGUGGCGUGAGUCAAGAUCCAUUCGGGUGCGCGGGAGACGGUGACGAGAAAGGUAGGCGACUCCGGUCGCUGUUAUAGUCUUGCCAUCACACCGCAGCCCUGGAUGGAGGAAGGAAUAGUGCGCCGCCUGGCGGCUUAGUCCUCGGUCCCUAUUGGCCCACUCGCCUUGAUAGCAAUGCUAUCCUGGUGACGACGCGUCGAUACUGGCUCCGGGUGACUCUAUGUGCUAUCACGAUCUUGUACGAAAUGGUUGCCAUCGACCCGUCUUGAAACACGGACCAAGGAGUCUAACAUCUAUGCGAGUAUUUGAGUGACAAACUCGAAUGCGCAAUGAAAGUAAAGGCUGCCCUCGCGGCGGCUGAGGUAGGAAUCCGGUCACACGGAGGCACUAUCGACCGAUCAUCACUUGUGAAAGAUUUGAGUACGAGCAUAUCUGUUGGGACCCGAAAGAUGGUGAUCUAUGCCUGAACAGGGUGAAGCCAGGGGAAACUCUGGUGGAGGCUCGUAGCGAUACUGACGUGCAAAUCGUUCGUCUGAUUUGGGUAUAGGGGCGAAAGACUAAUCGAACCAUCUAGUAGCUGGUUCCCUC
This 1962-nucleotide unclassified non-coding RNA is filed under the name uncultured fungus. RNAcentral's name for it is "sequence contains 18S rRNA gene, ITS1, 5.8S rRNA gene, ITS2, 28S rRNA gene". The stretch from base 841 to 1962 matches the Rfam family "Eukaryotic large subunit ribosomal RNA", at positions 1 to 961 of the family's 3401-position model. Lineage: Eukaryota; Fungi. The record is from RNAcentral.